CAGCGGGCUCCUGUCCAGUGGACCGGUGUCCACACCCGCUGCGGCCGUGUGGCGCUUUCCGUUAACAGCAGCCGUCGGGAGGGUCACGAUUUCUGGAGGCUGCAUGAGGUGGAGCGAGGGAUGGAUCGGUCCCAGCUGGACGCGCCCGGCUGCCCGGCACCCGACGGAGCCGGGGAAAGUGGAAGCCAGAGUGAUGACACAUCUGGUAGCAGCUUAUUUAAAACACAGUGUGCUCCUUCACCUAAACAAAGGCCGAGAGCCAUCACUGCAGAAUUGAACUCACCUGCAAGCCCUGAAACUGAUUCAUCAAGUGACUCAUCUCUAGAACCAAGAGCUUUGACCUUAAAGGCUAUUUUUGAAAGAUUUAAGAAAAAGAAACGUAAAAAAGGUAAAAAGAGAAAAUACAAGCCAAAACUCAGACCAAGGGGAAGACCAGAGGGAAGGAAAAACAGUAGACGAUCACAGAUAGAUAAGAAACAAAUAAAAGAAAAAGGACCUGUGUUUCCAUUUUCACAGUCUGAAAAUGGAGGAGAGCCACUGCCGUGGAGGAAAAUUUUAACCUAUGAGCAAGCUGUUGCAAGAGGAUUUUUCAACCACAUUGAAAAACUGAAGUAUGAGCACCACCUUAAGGAGUCCUUGAAACAGAUGGAUGCUGGUGAAGAUCUAGAAAAAGAGGACCUUGACAGUCGCAGAUACAAGUAUUUGGAUGAUGAUGGUUCCAUUUCUCCUAUUGAAGAUCCAUUAACAGAAGAUGAAGUGACACAUCCAGAACCUGAUGGCUGUGACAUCACAUUGGUAGAUGAUAGCUGUUUUAUCAUAAGUUCAGAAUUCCCAAAAAAGGCGAAGAAUACUAAAGUCACACUGUCUAAAGAGAGAACUUCUAAGGCAGAAAACACUAGGCAAACGGUCAGAAAUGCCUGAAGAGAUGAACAUGGAAUGCCAAAGGAUGCAAAGACUACCAGAGAACGUGACCUCCCAGGAAGAAAACUAGAUGUGGAAUAUACAGGCUCAAACCAGGAGCCACCACAGAGACUGACACAGCUCCCUCAACAAAUCAAGGGAAAGAGCCGGCUUCAGCCCAUGCAUUCCCAGGGAGGCGGUGGCCAGCCUGGUCUACAUAGCGUGUCUUAUGAGGCCUGGAGUUGAAGAUUCUGCUUACUGUGAAUGGAUGUGUUUCAAUGCAGUAUUGGCAUAUCCUGGAGACCAUAGUAUUCCGAGUGUGAUGGCUUAGGAAUGAGUAUGAGUCGAACUCAUUUUUAAGAUGGGAACCAAGCACAGGUCUUCAGGCUUGAUCUGCUGAGUAGCCUUCCUCACCGUAAUGGUCUUCAUCCAGAGUACCAUCUGUUCUCUAGGUGUCAGCAAUUGAGAAGCAGAUGAAUCCUAAAGUGGUUCCUACAGUAAAUGGCUUCAAGAAAUUAGAUGUCACAGAUCUCAGGUGGAGAACUUUGACAUUAUCACAAAUAUGUCUUUCACAUAAACUGUGGGAAGGCUGAAAGCACAACUGGAUUAAUACCCCUUUCUCUGAGAAAGGAUUAUCUGGAUUGUCUUGAGCUUCUGCAGCUUUGAUGGACAGUGAAGGGAAAUCGUGAAAUAUCUCUUAAAUAAAGAUUUAUUCACUUUAUAA
Molecule: RNA transcript, 1624 nt
Organism: Nannospalax galili (Upper Galilee mountains blind mole rat)
Lineage: Eukaryota; Metazoa; Chordata; Mammalia; Rodentia; Spalacidae
Gene: Taf1d
Gene name: TATA-box binding protein associated factor, RNA polymerase I subunit D
Exons: 13
Source: RefSeq, a predicted model, not a curated record